ACUCCUACGGGAGGCAGCAGUGGGGAAUAUUGGACAAUGGGCGAAAGCCUGAUCCAGCAAUGCCGCGUGCAGGAUGAAGGCCUUCGGGUUGUAAACUGCUUUUGUACGGAACGAAAAAGCUCCUUCUAAUACAGGGGGCCCGAUGACGGUACCGUAAGAAUAAGCACCGGCUAACUACGUGCCAGCAGCCGCGGUAAUACGUAGGGUGCGAGCGUUAAUCGGAAUUACUGGGCGUAAAGCGUGCGCAGGCGGUUAUGUAAGACAGAUGUGAAAUCCCCCGGGCUCAACCUGGGAACUGCAUUUGUGACUGCAUGGCUAGAGUACGGUAGGAGGGGUAUGGAAUUCCGCGUGUAGCAGUGAAAUGCGUAGAUAUGCGGAGGAACACCGGAUGGCGAAGGCAAUCCCCGUGGACCUGUACUGACGCUCAUGCACGAAAGCGUGGGAGCAAACGAGGAUUAGA
Molecule: ribosomal RNA, 460 nt
Filed under: uncultured bacterium
Lineage: Bacteria
Description: bacterial SSU rRNA
Rfam family: Bacterial small subunit ribosomal RNA
Source: RNAcentral